AAUAUAAAUAGAGGUGCGAUUUUUGAAGAUUAGAGUGGGGAGCCGGUAGGCAAUGAACCACUUGAAAGGCAUAAGUCGCCGAAUAAAUAAUUAAGACAUUAAUUAUUUAUGGGGUUAUUGAGAAUACCAAUAACACUCCUACGAGAGUAGAGGAGCUAUUAUAAUC
This 166-nucleotide non-coding RNA is filed under the name Acholeplasma oculi. RNAcentral's name for it is "Lysine sequence". It matches the Rfam family "Lysine riboswitch aptamer". From Rfam's summary of the family: Riboswitches are metabolite binding domains within certain messenger RNAs that serve as precision sensors for their corresponding targets. Allosteric rearrangement of mRNA structure is mediated by ligand binding, and this results in modulation of gene expression. This family includes riboswitches that sense lysine in a number of genes involved in lysine metabolism, including lysC. Lineage: Bacteria; Bacillati; Mycoplasmatota; Mollicutes; Acholeplasmatales; Acholeplasmataceae. The record is from Rfam by way of RNAcentral.